Molecule: ribosomal RNA, 327 nt
Filed under: uncultured Planctomycetota bacterium
Lineage: Bacteria; Pseudomonadati; Planctomycetota
Description: bacterial SSU rRNA
Rfam family: Bacterial small subunit ribosomal RNA
Source: RNAcentral
AAUGAACGUUGGCGGCGUGGAUUAGGCAUGCAAGUCGAGCGCGAUAUUGUGGAUUGAAACUUCGGUCGAUUGAAGCGAUGGAAAGCGGCGAACGGGAGAGUAACGCGUAGAAUACCUGCCCUCAAGUUCGGGAUAGCCAUGGGAAACUAUGGGUAAUACCGAAUAAUAUCUCCGGAUCAAAGGUGUGAUUCCGCUUGAGGAUGGUUCUGCGUCCUAUUAGCUUGUUGGUGAGGUAAUGGCUCACCAAGGCUACGAUGGGUACCGGGUGUGAGAGCAUGACCCGGCUCACUGGGACUGAGACACUGCCCAGACACCUACGGGUGGCAG